GACGAACGCUGGCGGCGUGCUUAACACAUGCAAGUCGAACGGAAAGGCCCUGCUGUUGUGGGGUGCUCGAGUGGCGAACGGGUGAGUAACACGUGAGUAACCUGCCCUUGACUUUGGGAUAACUUCAGGAAACUGGGGCUAAUACCGGAUAGGAGCUCCGGCUGCAUGGUGGGGGUUGGAAAGUUUCGGCGGUUGGGGAUGGACUCGCGGCUUAUCAGCUUGUUGGUGGGGUAGUGGCUUACCAAGGCUUUGACGGGUAGCCGGCCUGAGAGGGUGACCGGCCACAUUGGGACUGAGAUACGGCCCAGACUCCUACGGGAGGCAGCAGUGGGGAAUAUUGCACAAUGGGCGGAAGCCUGAUGCAGCAACGCCGCGUGCGGGAUGACGGCCUUCGGGUUGUAAACCGCUUUCGCCUGUGACGAAGCGUGAGUGACGGUAAUGGGUAAAGAAGCACCGGCUAACUACGUG
This 468-nucleotide ribosomal RNA is filed under the name uncultured bacterium. RNAcentral's name for it is "partial 16S ribosomal RNA". It matches the Rfam family "Bacterial small subunit ribosomal RNA", at positions 28 to 507 of the family's 1533-position model. The record is from RNAcentral.